UACCCCGGUAGUCCUAGCCGUAAACGAUACUCGCUAGGUGUCGGCCACGGUGCGACCGUUGUCGGUGCCGUAGGGAAGCCGUGAAGCGAGCCACCGUGGGAAGUACCGGCCGCAAGGCUAGAAAACUUAAAGGAAUUGGCGGGGGAGCACCACAACGGGUGGAGCUUGCGGUUUAAUUGGAUUCAACGCCGGAAAUCUUACCGGGACCGACAGCAACAUGAAGGCCAGGCUGAAGACUUUGCCGGAUUAGCUG
RNAcentral lists this ribosomal RNA (253 nucleotides) under uncultured archaeon. RNAcentral's name for it is "partial 16S ribosomal RNA". It matches the Rfam family "Archaeal small subunit ribosomal RNA", at positions 734 to 982 of the family's 1478-position model. The record is from RNAcentral.